UAGCGGAAGGCAGAACCAAGUCGAAAAUCGGCCGAGAAGUGCAAAUCUUGCCAAAUCCUGAUAUAAACAGAAAAAAAGGCGUGAUAUCCAAGACAAAAUUGCUCCGAAAAGGCGAUUUAAUGUUCGACCUUGGUGUCUCUUGUGGCGUUUCGAGGAUGCGUGUCCUUGGUGACUGAUACAUUGAUGCCUCGCGAACUAAGUAUGUUUUCGUGAUGCUCUUGUGACUGCCUGCUGCAGAUUCAUGAUUUUUCUGGAUUAUUUUUAUUCUGUCUUCCACUGGAGAAGUGAUAACAAUACCAAGACAAACGGAAAUCAAUACAGACAAACAGAGUACACGCAAGAUUAACAAUCAAGCCUCGCAUGAGGAGAGCAUGUUCCUUGGAGCUAUCAAGAGGGAAUGGUUCUACCAGCUUCGAAACAAUCUGAUCGAACAGUCAAUAACAAGAUGUACAUCCUGAAACCAAAAAUUCCGCUUCAAUACACCUGGGAUAUUCUUUA
Long non-coding RNA from Acromyrmex echinatior (Panamanian leafcutter ant), 498 nucleotides. NCBI's taxonomy places the organism in Eukaryota, Metazoa, Arthropoda, Insecta, Hymenoptera, Formicidae. The record is from RefSeq and is a predicted model, not a curated record.